Molecule: ribosomal RNA, 253 nt
Filed under: uncultured bacterium
Lineage: Bacteria
Description: partial 16S ribosomal RNA
Rfam family: Bacterial small subunit ribosomal RNA
Source: RNAcentral
GACGGAAGGUGCAAGCGUUGCUCGGAAUCACUGGGCGUAAAGGGUGCGUAGGCGGCCGUGCAAGUCUGGCGUGAAAGCCCCGGGCUCAGCCCGGGAAGUGCGCUCGAAACUGCGCGGCUCGAGUGCCGGAGGGGAGAGUGGAAUUCCUGGUGUAGCGGUGAAAUACGCAGAUAUCAGGAGGAACACCGAUCGCGAAGGCAGCUCGCUGGGACGUAACUGACGCUGAGACGCGAAAGCGUGGGGAGCAAACAGG